Molecule: long non-coding RNA, 209 nt
Filed under: Ictidomys tridecemlineatus (thirteen-lined ground squirrel)
Lineage: Eukaryota; Metazoa; Chordata; Mammalia; Rodentia; Sciuridae
Description: lncRNA (ENSSTOG00000033264.1)
Source: RNAcentral
UUUUAGUUUCGGCGGACACAACAUCUUUGUUUGUAUGUGGUGCUGAGGAUCGAACCCAGGCCACACGCAUGCCAGGAGAGCGCCCUACCGCUUGAGCCACAUCCCCAACCCUGGAGGAACUUUAGAGUUGAAGGUUAGCAGUGAGUCAGCACAGGAAUGCAGCACAGGUAAGCAGUUGUGGAUUUCAGCAAAAUCCCUUUGAUAAUUUU